This 434-nucleotide ribosomal RNA is filed under the name uncultured bacterium. RNAcentral's name for it is "bacterial SSU rRNA". It matches the Rfam family "Bacterial small subunit ribosomal RNA", at positions 958 to 1392 of the family's 1533-position model. The record is from RNAcentral.
AACGCGAGGAACCUUACCUACCCUUGACAUGUCAGGAAGUCCGCUGAGAGGUGGAUGUGCCCGAAAGGGAGCCUGAACACAGGUGCUGCAUGGCUGUCGUCAGCUCGUGUCGUGAGAUGUUGGGUUAAGUCCCGCAACGAGCGCAACCCUUGUCAUUAGUUGCUACAUUUAGUUGGGCACUCUAAUGAGGCUGCCGGUGACAAACCGGAGGAAGGUGGGGAUGACGUCAAGUCCUCAUGGCCCUUAUGGGUAGGGCCUCACACGUCAUACAAUGGCGGAUACAGAGGGUUGCCAACCCGCGAGGGGGAGCCAAUCCCAGAAAGUCCGUCGUAGUCCGGAUCGGAGUCUGCAACUCGACUCCGUGAAGUCGGAAUCGCUAGUAAUCGCGGAUCAGCAUGUCGCGGUGAAUACGUUCCCGGGUCUUGUACACACCG